AGAGAUAGCCCCUAUCCCAAAAGAAAAGAAAAAGGAGAGAGAUGGAUCAUACAAAAAGGAAUCCAUACACCAUCCACCAUCCACACACAUACACAUCUUGAUUAGGUUGUAUUACUUGCUUCUUCCAAGGAUCCGGUCUUUGACUUAGCAAUACAUGAGAAACAAGUAUGCCUUCAUCUUCUCCACCUAUAGCUUCACAUAUAAGCCUAUUAGGAGUAGGUUGUGAAAGAAAGAUAAA
Molecule: long non-coding RNA, 238 nt
Filed under: Setaria italica (foxtail millet)
Lineage: Eukaryota; Viridiplantae; Streptophyta; Magnoliopsida; Poales; Poaceae
Description: long non-coding RNA (SITA_LNC004519)
Source: RNAcentral